This 290-nucleotide unclassified non-coding RNA is filed under the name Hevea brasiliensis (rubber tree). Lineage: Eukaryota; Viridiplantae; Streptophyta; Magnoliopsida; Malpighiales; Euphorbiaceae. The record is from RNAcentral.
GGCAAGAGAUGUGCUGUACCUGAGUGCACCAAAAGUGCAAGGGGACGAACAGAUUUUUGUGUUCGUCAUGGUGGCGGAAAAAGAUGCAAGUUUGAAGGGUGUGACAAAAGUGCCCAGGGCAGCACAGAUUUCUGUAAGGCACAUGGUGGGGGGAAAAGAUGCUCUUGGGGCCAUCCUGGCUCAGAAUAUGGUGUCCAGCUUACUGGUCCUUGUAACUCAUUUGCCAGGGGUAAGACAGGUCUCUGUGCGCUCCAUAGUGGACUGGUGCAGGAUAAGAGGGUUCAUGGUGG